This 449-nucleotide ribosomal RNA is filed under the name uncultured bacterium. RNAcentral describes it as "partial 16S ribosomal RNA". It matches the Rfam family "Bacterial small subunit ribosomal RNA", at positions 29 to 523 of the family's 1533-position model. The record is from RNAcentral.
AACGAACGCUGGCGGCAUGCCUAACACAUGCAAGUCGAACGAGAUCUUCGGGUCUAGUGGCGCACGGGUGCGUAACGCGUGGGAAUCUGCCCUUUGGUUCGGAAUAACAGUUGGAAACGACUGCUAAUACCGGAUGAUGACGAAAGUCCAAAGAUUUAUCGCCAGAGGAUGAGCCCGCGUAGGAUUAGCUAGUUGGUGUGGUAAAGGCGCACCAAGGCGACGAUCCUUAGCUGGUCUGAGAGGAUGAUCAGCCACACUGGGACUGAGACACGGCCCAGACUCCUACGGGAGGCAGCAGUGGGGAAUAUUGGACAAUGGGCGAAAGCUUGAUCCAGCAAUGCCGCGUGAAUGAUGAAGGCCUUAGGGUUGUAAAGCUCUUUUACCCGGGAUGAUAAUGACAGUACCGGGAGAAUAAGCUCCGGCUAACUCCGUGCCAGCCGCCGCAGUAA